This 459-nucleotide ribosomal RNA is filed under the name uncultured bacterium. Its description in RNAcentral is "partial 16S ribosomal RNA". It matches the Rfam family "Bacterial small subunit ribosomal RNA", at positions 339 to 795 of the family's 1533-position model. The record is from RNAcentral.
CUACGGGGUGCAGCAGUGAGGAAUAUUGGGCAAUGGGCGCAAGCCUGACCCAGCCAUGCCGCGUGAAGGAUGAAUGCCCUAUGGGUUGUAAACUUCUUUUUUACGGGAAGAAACUCCUGAACGUGUUCGGGAUUGACGGUACCGUAUGAAUAAGCAUCGGCUAACUCCGUGCCAGCAGCCGCGGUAAUACGGAGGAUGCAAGCGUUAUCCGGAUUUAUUGGGUUUAAAGGGUGCGUAGGCGGGAUAAUAAGUCAGUGGUGAAAGCCUGUAGCUUAACUAUAGAAAUGCCAUUGAUACUGUUGUCCUUGAGUACAGUUGAGGUAGGCGGAAUGUGUAAUGUAGCGGUGAAAUGCUUAGAUAUUACACAGAACACCGAUUGCGAAGGCAGCUUACUAAGCUGGUACUGACGCUGAGGCACGAAAGCGUGGGGAGCAAACAGGAUUAGAUACCCGUGUAGUC